Molecule: RNase P RNA, 402 nt
Filed under: Blastococcus tunisiensis
Lineage: Bacteria; Bacillati; Actinomycetota; Actinomycetes; Geodermatophilales; Geodermatophilaceae
Description: Bacterial RNase P class A
Rfam family: Bacterial RNase P class A
About the family: Ribonuclease P (RNase P) is a ubiquitous endoribonuclease, found in archaea, bacteria and eukarya as well as chloroplasts and mitochondria. Its best characterised activity is the generation of mature 5'-ends of tRNAs by cleaving the 5'-leader elements of precursor-tRNAs. Cellular RNase Ps are ribonucleoproteins.
Source: Rfam by way of RNAcentral
CGAGUCGGCCGGGCGGUCGCGUCGGCGGGGGAGACCCCGUCGCCGAGGAACGUCCGGGCUCCACAGGGCAGGGUGGUCGUUAACAGCGACCCGGGGUGACCCGCGGGACAGUGCCACAGAGAACAGACCGCCAGUGCUCGCACUGGUAAGGGUGAAACGGCGGUGUAAGAGACCACCGCACACCGGGUGACCGGUGUGGCUCGGUAAACCCCACCCGGAGCAAGGUCAAGAAAGGACGGCGGUUCGCCGCCGUCCCGCGCAGGCGUUCGAGGGCGGCCCGCCCGAUGCCUGCGGGUAGACCGCUGGAGCCUGCCGGCAACGGCAGGCCUAGAUGGAUGACCGCCCAUCGGGACGCCGCGAGGCGCCCGUGGACAGAACCCGGCGUACAGGCCGACUCGUCCG